ACAUCACACACAGAUGUGACGGUCAGGCUGCAGACUCUACGCAGAUAAUACAGCUUUAUACACUGACAUUAAAACGCCCAAAAUACAUAGGAGUCAUAGUACCACUAAUCAGGAGGUCAAGAAGGACUCAUAGUUCCACUCAUCAGGAGGUCUAGAAGGAGUCAUAGUUCCACUAAUCAGGAGGUCUAGAAGGAGUCAUAGUUCCACUAAUCAGGAGGUCUAGAAGGUGUCAUAGUUCCACUCAUCAGGAGGUCUAGAAGGAGUCAUAGUAGCACUCAUCAGGAGGUCUAGAAGGAGUCAUAGUACCACUAAUCAGGAGGUCUAGAAGGAGUCAUAGUACCACUAAUCAGGAGGUCUAGAAGGAGUCAUAGUACCACUAAUCAGGAGGUCCAGAAGGAGUCAUAGUUCCACUAAUCAGGAGGUCUAGAAGGAGUCAUAGUACCACUAAUCAGGAGGUCUAGAAGGAGUCAUAGUACCACUAAUCAGGAGGUCUAGAAGGAGUCAUAGUUCCACUAAUCAGGAGGUCUAGAAGGAGUCAUAGUACCACUAAUCAGGAGGUCUAGAAGGAGUCAUAGUUCCACUAAUCAGGAGGUCUAGAAGGAGUCAUAGUUCCACUAAUCAGGGGGUCUAGAAGGAGUCAUAGUUCCACUAAUCAGGAGGUCUAGAAGGAGUCAUAGUUCCACUAAUCAGGGGGUCUAGAAGGAGUCAUAGUUCCACUAAUCAGGAGGUCUAGAAGGAGUCAUAGUUCCACUAAUCAGGGGGUCUAGAAGGAGACAUAGUAGCACUAAUCAGAACUUCCAGAUGAAAGUUUGCUGAUGAACAGGAGAAGAAGCCUGAUUUCUUUGGUCAGAUGAAGAUCAAUGAGUUGGGCUCAGAUGGAGUCCAGAUGUUUGGUAAGAACCUGACCAGGACUACCACAGUGGAUGCAUGGUCCUGACAGUGAAGCAGGAGGUGGGAGUGUGAUGGUAUCCUCGUAAAUACUCUAUUUAAAGGUAAUCUGAUUACUGUGAGGUCCAACAUUUUAAGAUCAUUUUAGUCUGAGGUGAUGUUUCUCUGUUGUUGGUUCUUUGUUCUCAGUUAUCUCAGUA
Molecule: long non-coding RNA, 1088 nt
Organism: Acanthochromis polyacanthus (spiny chromis)
Lineage: Eukaryota; Metazoa; Chordata; Actinopteri; Pomacentridae
Exons: 6
Source: RefSeq, a predicted model, not a curated record